RNAcentral lists this ribosomal RNA (465 nucleotides) under uncultured bacterium. RNAcentral's name for it is "partial 16S ribosomal RNA". It matches the Rfam family "Bacterial small subunit ribosomal RNA", at positions 28 to 507 of the family's 1533-position model. The record is from RNAcentral.
GACGAACGCUGGCGGCGUGCUUAACACAUGCAAGUCGAACGGAAAGGCCCUGCUUGCAGGGUACUCGAGUGGCGAACGGGUGAGUAACACGUGGGUGAUCUGCCCUUCACUUCGGGAUAAGCCUGGGAAACGGGGUCUAAUACCGGAUAGGAGCCAGGGUUAGAGUGAGGGUUGGACGGUUUUUUCGGUGUAGGAUGAGCUCGCGGCCUAUCAGCUUGUUGGUGGGGUAAUGGCCUACCAAGGCGGCGACGGGUAGCCGGCCUGAGGGGGUGGACGGCCAUACUGGGACUGAGAUACGGCCCAGACGCCUACGGGUGGCAGCAGUGGGGAAUAUUGCACCAUGGGCGCAAGCCUGAUGCAGCGGCGCCGCGUGGGGGAUGACGGCCUUCGGGUUGUAAACUCCCUUCGCUAGGGACGAAGCUUUUUGUGACGGUACCUAGAGAAGAAGCACCGGCUAACUACGUG